This 402-nucleotide ribosomal RNA is filed under the name uncultured bacterium. RNAcentral's name for it is "partial 16S ribosomal RNA". It matches the Rfam family "Bacterial small subunit ribosomal RNA", at positions 30 to 526 of the family's 1533-position model. The record is from RNAcentral.
AUUGAACGCUGGCGGCAGGCCUAACACAUGCAAGUCGCACGAGUGGGGACGGGUGAGUAACACGUGGGUAACCUCCCAUCAGAGGGGAUAACACUUGGAAACAGGUGCUAAACCGAUAUUGAUGGAUGGACCCGCGGUGCAUUAGCUAGUUGGUGAGGUAACGGCUCACCAACGCCACGAUGCAUAGCCGACCUGAGAGGGUGAGCGGCCCCACUGGGACUGAGACACGGCCCCGACUCCUACGGGAGGCAGCAGGAGGGAAUCUUCGGCAAUUGACGAAAGUCUGACCGAGCAACGCCGCGUGAGUGAAGAAGGUUUUCGGAUCGUAAAACUCUGUUGUUAGAGAAGCGGUAUCUACCCAGAAAGCCACGGCUAACUACGUGCCAGCAGCCGCGGUAAUUC